This 34-nucleotide ribosomal RNA is filed under the name Laccaria bicolor. RNAcentral describes it as "partial 28S ribosomal RNA". RNAcentral also lists the same sequence under 2 other names. Lineage: Eukaryota; Fungi; Basidiomycota; Agaricomycetes; Agaricales; Hydnangiaceae. The record is from RNAcentral.
GGUAGGACUACCCGCUGAACUUAAGCAUAUCAUA